RNAcentral lists this long non-coding RNA (714 nucleotides) under Canis lupus dingo (dingo). Its description in RNAcentral is "lncRNA (ENSCAFG00020010225.1)". Lineage: Eukaryota; Metazoa; Chordata; Mammalia; Carnivora; Canidae. The record is from RNAcentral.
UUUUCCCUACUAUAUUCAGUUGUCUUAAUUUGUUCCCUAGGUGGCCCCCACUCCUACGGACACAGCUCUUUCACCUAUACGGUUUUCUUCUGUAUUUCCUGAUAUAAGUCUCCCCCUGACCCCACUGGAAUGCAUGGAUUUGCAUUUGUUCUUCCAGGAGUGUCUAACUGGAUGUCCUCUGCAAAUUCAUCAAAUGUGCCAUCUUUUCCAUCAUGUGGUCAUCCCUGGGAUCAUCAUCGAACAUCGUUCUCCACCACUCUGGUCCAUGGAUGGUUGUUCUCUUUUGUCCAUUCCAUCAAAUGUCCUGAACACUGUCAGAAGAGGGAAAAGGCUAAUGGAGCUGUUAAGUCUAAGUAUGACUGCCAAGAUGAAUCCAAAAAAGCCAAAGAGCCUGAGCAUGUCAGACCUUCCUGCAGCCUGCCACACACACUUAAAACCCCAGGGAAAUGAGUGCGGCUCAGGAGGGGGGAAGAGCGCCAACCAGUCAGAUUGCUCAAUCCCAAGACAAAGAACUCGUGGAUCAUGGGCUAGAAAAAAGGGUUAAAGGAUUAGAAUGAAUUCAAGAAAGAACGAUCUGGUUGCCACUUGGAGAAGGACACAGGAGCUGAACCCAAUGGUGCUGUGGAGCCUGGGGAGGAAAUUGUGAGUACUUGCUCUUGAUUGAGUAUCAUUAUCCUCCUGUUGUCUAGGAAGAUGAUUGUUAUAAUUAGCGAC